This 68-nucleotide transfer RNA is filed under the name Callosobruchus analis. Its description in RNAcentral is "tRNA-Trp". Lineage: Eukaryota; Metazoa; Arthropoda; Insecta; Coleoptera; Chrysomelidae. The record is from RNAcentral.
AAGGAUUUAAGUUAUUUUAAACUUUUAACCUUCAAAGUUAAAAAUAGGGUAAAUUUCCCUAAGCCUUA